UGGGGAAUCUUGGACAAUGGGCGAAAGCCUGAUCCAGCCAUGCCGCGUGAGUGACGAAGGUCUUCGGAUUGUAAAGCUCUUUUGGCGGGGACGAUAAUGACGGUACCCGCAGAAUAAGCCCCGGCUAACUUCGUGCCAGCAGCCGCGGUAAUACGAAGGGGGCUAGCGUUGUUCGGAAUUACUGGGCGUAAAGCGCACGUAGGCGGAUUUGUAAGUCAGGGGUGAAAUCCCGGGGCUCAACCUCGGAACUGCCCUUGAUACUGCAAAUCUCGAGUCCGAUAGAGGUGAGUGGAAUUCCUAGUGUAGAGGUGAAAUUCGUAGAUAUUAGGAAGAACACCAGUGGCGAAGGCGGCUCACUGGAUCGGUACUGACGCUGAGGUGCGAAAGCGUGGGGAGCAAACAGGAUUAGAUACCCCCGUAGUCCCUGAGCGGGCUGGCAAGGCGCAU
This 447-nucleotide ribosomal RNA is filed under the name uncultured bacterium. RNAcentral's name for it is "bacterial SSU rRNA". It matches the Rfam family "Bacterial small subunit ribosomal RNA", at positions 355 to 825 of the family's 1533-position model. The record is from RNAcentral.